GACGAACGCUGGCGGCGUGCUUAACACAUGCAAGUCGAACGGAAAGGCCCUGCUUUUGUGGGGUGCUCGAGUGGCGAACGGGUGAGUAACACGUGAGUAACCCGCCCUUGACUUUGGGAUAACUUCAGGAAACUGGGGCUAAUACCGGAUAGGAGCUCUUGCUGCAUGGUGGGGGUUGGAAAGAUUCGGCGGUUGGGGAUGGACUCGCGGCUUAUCAGCUUGUUGGUGGGGUAGUGGCUGACCACGGCUUUGACGGGUAGCCGGCCUGAGAGGGUGACCGGCCCCGUUGGGACUGAGAUACGCACCAGACUCCUACGGGCGGCAGCAGUCGGGAAUAUUGCACAGUAGGCGCACGCCUGAUGCGACAGCGCCGCGUGCGUAAUGCCGGCCUUCGAGUUGUAAACCACUUUCGCCUGUGACGAAGCGUGAGUGACGGUAAUGGAUAAAGAAGCACCGGCUAACUACGUG
Molecule: ribosomal RNA, 468 nt
Filed under: uncultured bacterium
Lineage: Bacteria
Description: partial 16S ribosomal RNA
Rfam family: Bacterial small subunit ribosomal RNA
Source: RNAcentral